GCAAGCAGUAACAGUUGACGACUUCUACCAUUGAAAGUAGUCUAGCUACAUAUAUACAAAAUGGCAUAUAAACAAAACAAAAGCUCACAAUCAUUAUAAUGAUUUUACCAAAUAACAUCAUGAUAGCACCAUUGUUACAUAUAUUCUAUCCCAUCAUGAUGCUUCAAAUUGCUAAUAUACAGCCAUUAUCUCUACACACACUGCCCCCAAAACACACGCGCUGUUACUGUCUCGUUCAAAAGAGAGAAUUUGUGCUUUUGGCUUGAGAUAUCCUUAUAGUAA
RNAcentral lists this long non-coding RNA (282 nucleotides) under Elaeis guineensis (African oil palm). RNAcentral's name for it is "long non-coding RNA (EGUI_LNC016760)". The record is from RNAcentral. Lineage: Eukaryota; Viridiplantae; Streptophyta; Magnoliopsida; Arecales; Arecaceae.